GAACGCUUGGCGGCAGGCCUAACACAUGCAAGUCGAACGAACUCUUCGGAGUUAGUGGCGGACGGGUGAGUAACACGUGGGAACGUGCCUUUAGGUUCGGAAUAACUCAGGGAAACUUGUGCUAAUACCGAAUGUGCCCUUCGGGGGAAAGAUUUAUCGCCUUUAGAGCGGCCCGCGUCUGAUUAGCUAGUUGGUGAGGUAAAGGCUCACCAAGGCUACGAUCAGUAGCUGGUCUGAGAGGAUGACCAGCCACAUUGGGACUGAGACACGGCCCAAACUCCUACGGGAGGCAGCAGUGGGGAAUCUUGCGCAAUGGGCGAAAGCCUGACGCAGCCAUGCCGCGUGGAUGAUGAAGGUCUUAGGAUUGUAAAAUCCUUUCACCGGUGAAGAUAAUGACUGUAGCCGGAGAAGAAGCCCCGGCUAACUUCGUG
Molecule: ribosomal RNA, 431 nt
Filed under: uncultured bacterium
Lineage: Bacteria
Description: bacterial SSU rRNA
Rfam family: Bacterial small subunit ribosomal RNA
Source: RNAcentral